Molecule: long non-coding RNA, 285 nt
Filed under: Mytilus galloprovincialis (Mediterranean mussel)
Lineage: Eukaryota; Metazoa; Mollusca; Bivalvia; Mytilida; Mytilidae
Source: RNAcentral
AAAAGAUUAAAUCUUGUGUUUUCUCAAAAAAUUAUUAAAAGCAAUAAUCUUAACAAAUGUUGUAAGCUGACAAAGAAAAGCCUUCACAGUAUACUUUCUGUAUUAACACAACCAUGGUAGAUUCUUCAUUUUGUAUUGAAUGAUAAAAAAAAUGUAGACACAUGCCAUAAUUUUAAAAGAAACCACUAGGAAGUCACUGUCUUGACCUUAAUUAGUAGAUUUAGAUAGAUAUUUUAAGACAUUGAUUUAACAUAAUUAACUUUAUUCAAGGACUUAAAUAACCAA